RNAcentral lists this ribosomal RNA (709 nucleotides) under uncultured Colwellia sp. Its description in RNAcentral is "bacterial SSU rRNA". It matches the Rfam family "Bacterial small subunit ribosomal RNA", at positions 49 to 749 of the family's 1533-position model. The record is from RNAcentral. Lineage: Bacteria; Pseudomonadati; Pseudomonadota; Gammaproteobacteria; Alteromonadales; Colwelliaceae.
UUACACAUGCAGUCGAGCGGUACAGAGAUAGCUUGCUAUCUGCUGACGAGCGGCGGACGGGUGAGUAAUGCUUGGGAAUAUGCCUUAUGGUGGGGGACAACAGUUGGAAACGACUGCUAAUACCGCAUAACGUCUACGGACCAAAGGAGGGGAUUCUUCGGAACCUUUCGCCAUUUGAUUAGCCCAAGUGAGAUUAGCUAGUAGGUGAGGUAAGAGCUCACCUAGGCGACGAUCUCUAGCUGGUCUGAGAGGAUGAUCAGCCACACUGGGACUGAGACACGGCCCAGACUCCUACGGGAGGCAGCAGUGGGGAAUAUUGCACAAUGGGGGAAACCCUGAUGCAGCCAUGCCGCGUGUGUGAAGAAGGCCUUCGGGUUGUAAAGCACUUUCAGUUGUGAGGAAAGGGAUGUAGUUAAUAACUGCAUUCUGUGACGUUAACAACAGAAGAAGCACCGGCUAGCUUCGUGCCAGCAGCCGCGGUAAUACGAGGGGUGCAAGCGUUAAUCGGAAUUACUGGGCGUAAAGCGUUCGUAGGCGGUUAUUUAAGCAAGAUGUGAAAGCCCAGGGCUCAACCUUGGAACUGCAUUUUGAACUGGGUAACUAGAGUACUGUAGAGGGUGGUGGAAUUUCCAGUGUAGCGGUGAAAUGCGUAGAGAUUGGAAGGAACAUCAGUGGCGAACGCGGCCACCUGGACAGAUACUGACGCUGA